This is a long non-coding RNA of Papaver somniferum (opium poppy), 1854 nucleotides long. RefSeq lists it as uncharacterized. The record is from RefSeq and is a predicted model, not a curated record. The transcript is spliced from 3 exons. Lineage: Eukaryota; Viridiplantae; Streptophyta; Magnoliopsida; Ranunculales; Papaveraceae.
ACCUCCAAAAUUUUCAUUUUUCCUCAGUUUUUCUUCUUCUCUUCUUCCUAUCCCUAACCUAUUCUUUUUACCAAAUCGAACAGCAACAGAAAUCUCUCUCGAAUCCUUUCUUCUUCGUCGAAAUCGAAAUCCAGUUUGAUCUUCAUCAAUUUCACACCCUAAAUCUCCAUUCAUCUUUACUCAAUUUCGACUUUAGAGUGCAGAGUUUGGAUUUGGUUGAUUGAAUAUUCAAUCUUCUCCAACUUGUAACCCUAAAUUCAAAAUUGGGUAAAUUGAUUGAACCACCAUCACCAUCACCAAGCGUCGUCUUCUGCUUUCUACACCACUACCAUAAAAUCACCAUUAACGGUGUGAGUUUUAUCAACUGUAAAUCUGUGCUUUCAAUUCGAUUCUUCAUUUUGUAUAAAAAUAUGGGUUAAAGAGUUAAUUAUGGGAUUAUAAUGCUGGAAUGUCAUUAUACGGAGACAAGGAGAAAAACAAAACUUAUGAAGCUCGUUUUGAAUCUUAUGAUGGGUAUGUCAACUUGGAUCUCCAAUUUCUUGUGCCACAAUUGAUUGUGCCAUAUAAUGAUGUCUAAAGUACUAUUGGACCAUGAUCUCUUGAAAUGCCAGCUUAUGUCAACUUAUCAGCGACUCUCACUCCCAUUCGGGAUGAUAAAAUACUAGUCACGUGCCCUGUAACUGAAAAAAAUAAAGGGCGUAAUGCUAUAUCAUUUUCAUUGUUCGUUCUGUUCAAAUCAUAUUACACUUUGUUGAUUUCUGUAGCUAUGAAGUUAUAAGUGUUCUCACUCGUGCAACUAAUUCGCUCAAGGUCACUUUUUUAGAGGUUUGUCAAGUGUUCUCUUUUCCGAACAAAUUGCCAAAAUAGGGUUUAUGUAAAAAAACUAGAGGGGAACACUUGAAAAGAGGGGAACCUGUUUUGACACUGAAAAUGAGUUUCUAUAUAGAACUGACAUGGAUGGUGGAGAGUUCUGCGUAUUUGACAGAUCUGUUAUUGUAUCCAAUGGAAUACUCCAUUCAAAGAUUUGGUGAAGAGAAAGCCAAUCGUUGAGCUGAACUAUGGAAUAUAUAUGUACAGGUAACACUAGAAGCAGAAGUGUCAAAUAAGGGAGCACUUGCGUUGUAUGGUCGUUUUUGGUUUAUCAGGGCAAAAUAGGCUCCUCCGAUAUUACUUGAAUUAGUUCUAAAGUCUACUAACUAAGAGGUAUCUGAUCCAAGUUUUUUUAGGUAUCGGUAUGACCCGUGACCAUUUUUGUUGCAUCACUAGAGUAACGACACUAAAAAUUAAGAAAAUAUGUAAUGUAAACUUCAUUUUUGCUGAAUGUAUUCUACAUUUUUCAAUCAUGGUACAGUGUUUUUCCGGAUCUUCUUUUACAUUUUUCUCCUUAUUCUAUUAUCUGCAUCGAUCUUCAUGUACAUUUUUCUCACAUAUUUUUGCCCGUUUGGUUGUGUUGUAAAUUUUGUCUGAAAAAUACACUCCAUGCCAUUAUGGCGGAACUAAAUUGUGGUACAAAAUUUAGUUUUGCGUAAAAAAAUUCGAUCGGCCGUCUCACCGUGGCAGCGGUCAUCUAGUAUGCAAAACCAAAUUUAGAACCACAACAACACCAACAAACAGGUUGUACUUGAAUCAAAUUGAAGCAUUGAAAUUUGAAAUAGAGCUUUGAAGUCAAAAUUAGAAAAAGCAGAGAAAAUGUGGUGAUACAUAUAGAACUAAUUUAUUGAUGAGCUUUAUAUCUGAAAUGCAAAUUGGGUCACUUAGAAAUGAACGGUCACGGCCAUCAGUUUGUCUUAAAAUGAGCUUUAUAUCUGAAAUCCAAAUUGUUCGUACGUUGCAUCCUGUUGUGCCCAAUUUCAA